Molecule: small nuclear RNA, 19 nt
Filed under: Arabidopsis thaliana (thale cress)
Lineage: Eukaryota; Viridiplantae; Streptophyta; Magnoliopsida; Brassicales; Brassicaceae
Description: snRNA_15363
Source: RNAcentral
CUAGAACCCACAAAGGGUG